UACGUAGGGGGCGAGCGUUAUCCGGAUUCAUUGGGCGUAAAGCGCGCGUAGGCGGCCUGUUAGGUCGGGGGUCAAAUACCGGGGCUCAACCCCGGUCCGCCCCCGAUACCGGCAGGCUUGAGUCUGGUAGGGGAAGGCGGAAUUCCCAGUGUAGCGGUGGAAUGCGCAGAUAUUGGGAAGAACACCGGCGGCGAAGGCGACUUACUGGACUGUAACUGACGUUGAGGCACGAAAGUGUGGGGAGCAAACAGG
Molecule: ribosomal RNA, 252 nt
Filed under: uncultured Coriobacteriaceae bacterium
Lineage: Bacteria; Bacillati; Actinomycetota; Coriobacteriia; Coriobacteriales; Coriobacteriaceae
Description: partial 16S ribosomal RNA
Rfam family: Bacterial small subunit ribosomal RNA
Source: RNAcentral